Molecule: ribosomal RNA, 460 nt
Filed under: uncultured bacterium
Lineage: Bacteria
Description: partial 16S ribosomal RNA
Rfam family: Bacterial small subunit ribosomal RNA
Source: RNAcentral
CCUACGGGUGGCAGCAGUGAGGAAUAUUGGUCAAUGGACGAGAGUCUGAACCAGCCAAGUAGCGUGAAGGAUGACUGCCCUAUGGGUUGUAAACUUCUUUUAUAUGGGAAUAAAACGUUCCACGUGUGUGAUUUUGUAUGUACCAUAUGAAUAAGGAUCGGCUAACUCCGUGCCAGCAGCCGCGGUAAUACGGAGGAUCCGAGCGUUAUCCGGAUUUAUUGGGUUUAAAGGGAGCGUAGGUGGAUUGUUAAGUCAGUUGUGAAAGUUUGCGGCUCAACCGUAAAAUUGCAGUUGAAACUGGCAGUCUUGAGUACAGUAGAGGUGGGCGGAAUUCGUGGUGUAGCGGUGAAAUGCUUAGAUAUCACGAAGAACUCCGAUUGCGAAGGCAGUUCACUGGACUGCAACUGACACUGAGGCUCGAAAGUGUGGGUAUCAAACAGGAUUAGAUACCCUUGUAGUC